UAGAACNACUCUCANCAACNGAUAUCUUGGCUCUUGCAACGAUGAAGAACGCANCNAAAUGCGAUACGUAGNGUGAAUUGCAGAAUUCCNCNAAUCAUCGAGUUUUUGAACGCAAGUUGCGCCCGAGGCUUGUCCGAGGGCAUUUCCGCUAGAGCGUCACC
This 161-nucleotide ribosomal RNA is filed under the name Bryum argenteum. RNAcentral describes it as "5.8S ribosomal RNA". It matches the Rfam family "5.8S ribosomal RNA". Rfam says of the family: 5.8S ribosomal RNA (5.8S rRNA) is a component of the large subunit of the eukaryotic ribosome. It is transcribed by RNA polymerase I as part of the 45S precursor that also contains 18S and 28S rRNA. The record is from RNAcentral. Lineage: Eukaryota; Viridiplantae; Streptophyta; Bryopsida; Bryales; Bryaceae.